GUAAGGAAUAUUGGGCAAUGGGGGGAACCCUGACCCAGCCAUGCCGCGUGAGGGAAGUAGGCCCUACGGGUCGUGAACCUCUUUUGUCGGGGGACAAGGACGCCGUCGCGAACGGUGUUUGCGGGUACCCGGCGAAUAAGCAUCGGCUAACUCCGUGCCAGCAGCCGCGGUAAUACGGAGGAUGCGAGCGUUAUCCGGAUUCAUUGGGUUUAAAGGGUGCGCAGGCGGCCCGGUAAGUCAGCGGUGAAAGUCAGGGGCCCAACCCCGGAAGUGCCGUUGAUACUGUCGGGCUGGAAUGCGGUCGAGGCGGGCGGAAUGUGGUGUGUAGCGGUGAAAUGCAUAGAUAUGCCACAGAACGCCGAUAGCGAAGGCAGCUCGCCAGGCCUGCAUUGACGCUCGGGCACGAAAGCGUGGGGAUCAAACAGGAUUAGAAACCCUAGUAGUCC
Molecule: ribosomal RNA, 446 nt
Filed under: uncultured bacterium
Lineage: Bacteria
Description: bacterial SSU rRNA
Rfam family: Bacterial small subunit ribosomal RNA
Source: RNAcentral